GACGAACGCUGGCGGCGUGCUUAACACAUGCAAGUCGAACGGAAAGGCCCUGCUUUUGUGGGGUGCUCGAUUGGCGAACGGGUGAGUAACACGUGAGUAACCUGCCCUUGACUUUGGGAUAACUUCAGGAAACUGGGGCUAAUACCGGAUAGGAGCUCCUGCUGCAUGGUGGGGGUUGGAAAGUUUCGGCGGUUGGGGAUGGACUCGCGGCUUAUCAGCUUGUUGGUGGGGUAGUGGCUUACCAAGGCUUUGACGGGUAGCCGGCCUGAGAGGGUGACCGGCCACAUUGGGACUGAGAUACGGCCCAGACUCCUACGGGAGGCAGCAGUGGGGAAUAUUGCACAAUGGGCGGAAGCCUGAUGCAGCAACGCCGCGUGCGGGAUGACGGCCUUCGGGUUGUAAACCGCUUUCGCCUGUGACGAAGAGUGAGUGACGGUAAUGGGUAAAGAAGCACCGGCUAACUACGUG
Molecule: ribosomal RNA, 468 nt
Filed under: uncultured bacterium
Lineage: Bacteria
Description: partial 16S ribosomal RNA
Rfam family: Bacterial small subunit ribosomal RNA
Source: RNAcentral